GACGAACGCUGGCGGCGUGCUUAACACAUGCAAGUCGAACGGAAAGGCCCUGCUUUUGUGGGGUGCUCGAGUGGCGAACGGGUGAGUAACACGUGAGUAACCUGCCCUUGACUUUGGGAUAACUUCAGGAAACUGGGGCUAAUACCGGAUAGGAGCUCCUGCUGCGUGGUGGGGGUUGGAAAGUUUCGGCGGUUGGGGAUGGACUCGCGGCUUAUCAGCUUGUUGGUGGGGUAGUGGCUUACCAAGGCUUUGACGGGUAGCCGGCCUGAGAGGGUGACCGGCCACAUUGGGACUGAGAUACGGCCCAGACUCCUACGGGAGGCAGCAGUGGGGAAUAUUGCACAAUGGGCGGAAGCCUGAUGCAGCAACGCCGCGUGCGGGAUGACGGCCUUCGGGUUGUAAACCGCUUUCGCCUGUGACGAAGCGUGAGUGACGGUAAUGGGUAAAGAAGCACCGGCUAACUACGUGCCAGCAGCCGCGGUGAUACGUAGGGUGCGAGCGUUGUCCGGAUUUAUUGGGCGUAAAGGGCUCGUAGGUGGUUGAUCGCGUCGGAAGUGUAAUCUUGGGGCUUAACCCUGAGCGUGCUUUCGAUACGGGUUGACUUGAGGAAGGUAGGGGAGAAUGGAAUUCCUGGUGGAGCGGUGGAAUGCGCAGAUAUCAGGAGGAACACCAGUGGCGAAGGCGGUUCUCUGGGCCUUUCCUGACGCUGAGGAGCGAAAGCGUGGGGAGCGAACAGGCUUAGAUACCCUGGUAGUCCACGCUGUAAACGGUGGGUACUAGGUGUGGGGUCCAUUCCACGGGUUCCGUGCCGUAGCUAACGCUUUAAGUACCCCGCCUGGGGAGUACGGCCGCAAGGCUAAAACUCAAAGGAAUUGACGGGGCCCCGCACAAGCGGCGGAGCAUGCGGAUUAAUUCGAUGCAACGCGUAGAACCUUACCUGGGUUUGACAUGGAUCGGGAGUGCUCAGAGAUGGGUGUGCCUCUUUUGGGGUCGGUUCACAGGUGGUGCAUGCCUGUCGUCAGCUCGUGUCGUGAGAUGUUGGGUUAAGUCCCGCAACGAGCGCAACCCUUGUUCACUGUUGCCAGCACGUUAUGGUGGGGACUCAGUGGAGACCGCCGGGGUCAACUCGGAGGAAGGUGGGGAUGACGUCAAGUCCUCAUGCCCCUUAUGUCCAGGGCUUCACGCAUGCUACAAUGGCUGGUACAGAGAGUGGCGAGCCUGUGAGGGUGAGCGAAUCUCGGAAAGCCGGUCUCAGUUCGGAUUGGGGUCUGCAACUCGACCUCAUGAAGUCGGAGUCGCUAGUAAUCGCAGAUCAGCAACGCUGCGGUGAAUACGUUCCCGGGGCU
This 1346-nucleotide ribosomal RNA is filed under the name uncultured bacterium. RNAcentral describes it as "bacterial SSU rRNA". It matches the Rfam family "Bacterial small subunit ribosomal RNA", at positions 28 to 1381 of the family's 1533-position model. The record is from RNAcentral.